ACGAGUGGGUCUUUGUUCUUCAAAUUAGAUCUUUUCUUCAAUCUUCCGUAAUCAACUCUUCAAGACUCCAUUCAACACUACGAAAUCCGCCAACCUAUAAAAUCCUUAACAAUCUCCCCCUUUGGCGAUUUCGUGACAAAAUAUAUUACUAAGUUCGUACACAGCUCAUAAAUAAUAAAAAGAAGAUCAUCGCAAUCACCAAACGAUAAUCUCCUGCAUGAUCGAUCCAGUAAAAGAAAUUUACACUAUUACAACCUUAAUACAAACUCUAUGACUUAGACAUGGAGUCUUGAAGUCUUGAAUUAUUCCUGCAAAAACAUUCUUAAAACAUAGUCAAGAUUCAAGUAAACUUAUCAAGAUCAAAGUAUCAAGUCAUAGUUCAGCAAGUCAAAGUUCAUAGUCAAGCACAAGUCAAAUUUACACAACUAACAUAACUAAGCAAAGCUAAGCUAAAUGCAUAACAUAACUAAGCAAAAUGCCAUCUACACUAAGCAAAAUGCCAUCUAAGCUAAAUGCAUGCGUCAUGCGUCAUCAUCACCAUCGUCAUCAUCACCACCACCACCAUCAUCACCACCAUCUCCCCCUUUUUGUCAGAAAGCGCCAAAAUGACAAAAGAGGGAACCCGGCAACUCCUAAUCAGACGCAUCCCCUGGAGGUAAAUCUGCUCGGCAACACCCUAACUUGUCAAAAAUCAUAUUCAAUAAGCGCUUCAUCUUGCUCACAUCCUUCCGAAUCGCAGCUUGCUCCGCAGACAAUUUCUGAAGCUCCUCAGAUAGACGUUGUUGCUCAC
Molecule: long non-coding RNA, 790 nt
Filed under: Ananas comosus (pineapple)
Lineage: Eukaryota; Viridiplantae; Streptophyta; Magnoliopsida; Poales; Bromeliaceae
Description: long non-coding RNA (ACOM_LNC042897)
Source: RNAcentral